Molecule: ribosomal RNA, 680 nt
Filed under: uncultured bacterium
Lineage: Bacteria
Description: bacterial SSU rRNA
Rfam family: Bacterial small subunit ribosomal RNA
Source: RNAcentral
UCGAGCGAGAAUCGCACUUCGGUGCGAGAGUAGAGCGGCGGACGGGUGAGUAACGCGUGGAUAAUCUACCCGCGGAUUCGGGAUAACCCUGCGAAAGCGGGGCUAAUACCGGAUAGACUGACUAUUGUAGAGGUAGUCGGUAAAGGUAGCCUCUGAAACAAGCUAUCGUCUGCGGAUGAGUCCGCGUCUCAUUAGCUAGUUGGUGGGGUAAAGGCCUACCGAGGCGACGAUGAGUAGCUGGUCUGAGAGGAUGAUCAGCCACACUGGGACCGGAACACGGCCCAGACUCCUACGGGAGGCAGCAGUGGGGAAUAUUGGGCAAUGGGCGCAAGCCUGACCCAGCAACGCCGUGUGAGGGAAGAAGGUUUUCGGAUCGUAAACCUCUGUCAGGAGGGAAGAAGUGGCAUGUUUUUAAUAGAGACAUGCUUUGACGGUACCUCCGGAGGAAGCACCGGCUAACUCCGUGCCAGCAGCCGCGGUAACACGGAGGGUGCGAGCGUUAUUCGGAAUUACUGGGCGUAAAGCGCGCGUAGGUUGCGUGGUAAGUCAGAUGUGAAAGCCCUCGGCUCAACCGAGGAACCGCAUUUGAAACUGCUAUGCUUGAGUACGACAGAGGGUGGCGGAAUUCCCGUGUAGGGGUGAAAUCCGUAGAUAUCGGGAGGAACACCAGUGGCGAAGCG